RNAcentral lists this small nuclear RNA (89 nucleotides) under Phlebotomus papatasi. Lineage: Eukaryota; Metazoa; Arthropoda; Insecta; Diptera; Psychodidae. The record is from RNAcentral.
AUUUUACUGCAGAACAUAUACUAAAAUUGGAACGAUACAGAGAAGAUUAGCAUGGCCCCUGCGCAAGGAUGCUUAUUUUUAAUUUUUUU